This is a long non-coding RNA of Bombus terrestris (buff-tailed bumblebee), 1028 nucleotides long. RefSeq lists it as uncharacterized. NCBI's taxonomy places the organism in Eukaryota, Metazoa, Arthropoda, Insecta, Hymenoptera, Apidae. The transcript has 2 exons. The record is from RefSeq and is a predicted model, not a curated record.
GUACUGGAUUACAAUUUGGAGUACGGUCUUUGGAAGAUGUCCCGGGUAUCGGUUUGCCAGUAUCUUGGUACACGCACCAACAAUAACCAGAAUAACACUGCACUCGAUGAUACCUUCCGUCAGGUGUACAUUCAGUAUCAUGGACAAAUGGCCUAAGAAAUAUCGGAUGAACCAUGAAUGAUAUUGCGAGAAAGCCUAAGUGCCGUCAGGACAAAACGGUCUGGAAACUUCAAUGGCCCAUCAAUGCGUCGUCGGUCCUUCAGACGAUUAGUUACGCGGAAAAGUCUAGGUGACCAUGACCGAAGACAGUUGCGAAGACAUGUACUUGUCGGAGCUAUGAGAAAAGACGAAGGAACUCUUAAGGAAGAAGGACGAAUCAACGGACAGUCGUUACAUGACAGUUGUUAUCUGGGUAUCUUUAUCUGAAGGGUCGAGUUAGGGGAGUCGAGUGGUGAAGAGACGAAUUAUGGGGAGUCGAGAGUUGAGUUGUCCAGUUGUUAAAAGUUGUAAGCUAUAUUCGUGAUUUUGAGUGGCCUUCCGUUUAUGGCUCGGACAGCAUCUCUCUCUUCUUUGGAAAAUUUCGAAUUACCUGUCCUCCCCGAGCUGUAAACCUGACCGCUCAGAGAUCAGGAAAAAAACCCAGGGAUAACCCCCAGUCGAGAAGACACCAUGGAUUGACUCAUGACGAAUGAGACUCAACGGCUGAUGGAGAGUAUCGACAAGAUCUUACAACCGUCGUGUUCAGAACAUCAAAUUUUACUUGUAUACAACAAGUACAAAUAAAGUGCCAAAUUACACUAACACUCGAUCUAUAAAACCUCGGUUAAUUAAACGAUCGGUUGGACCUGACCGGUCGCUCUAUAAUUGAUAACUCGCAACAAGCUACGAGUUGUGAGUUGUGAAUUACCCAUUUAGUCGUCUUAGCUAUAGCACAUUACUGUAUUUAGUUCGCGUUAAAUAACAAUCGUUUCCUAUUUGUAAAUCCAUUGUAAAUCUAUCAAUAAACUUAUCAUAUAGGAUAGAAAUCA